UGAUAGAAAGCGACAAUUUGAUAGAAAAAACUUGUAAGAAGACACCCUAUUAUGAUCUCUGUGUCUCGUCUCUUCAAUCUAACCCUCAAAGCUCUAACACAGAUGUUAGGGGUCUAGCUUCUAUAAUGGGUAAUAUCACCCUGUCUGAUGCAACUAAUACGCUAAAUUACAUACAAGAGCUAAUCAACCAGACCACAGACCCUGUGCUAGAACGGCCCUUGACCCACUGUGCAGAACUGUACAUAUCUGUUGUCGAUUACAUUCUUCCCCAAGCUAUGGA
This 280-nucleotide unclassified non-coding RNA is filed under the name Hevea brasiliensis (rubber tree). Lineage: Eukaryota; Viridiplantae; Streptophyta; Magnoliopsida; Malpighiales; Euphorbiaceae. The record is from RNAcentral.